Panicum virgatum (switchgrass) is the source of this 1199-nucleotide long non-coding RNA. RefSeq lists it as uncharacterized. The record is from RefSeq and is a predicted model, not a curated record. The transcript has 3 exons. NCBI's taxonomy places the organism in Eukaryota, Viridiplantae, Streptophyta, Magnoliopsida, Poales, Poaceae.
CCCCCCCCGCUCUCUCUCUACUGGUGUGCUUGAUUGCCUUGUCGUUUGCCUCUCCACUCUCUCUCUCUGCUGGCGAUGUGUGUUUGUCGUCAUCAUGAAUCACAGUUUGGGGAUCGAUUGCUUCCUAGGUUAUUUGGGGCCUGAAUGAAUGGUGAUUCCCCCGUCCUUGGAGGGGCAGUCAACUGAAUCGACUUUUUAUAAUAUUCUAUCUAUACAAGAUUGCAGUCGGCAAGGACACAACAUCUCACUUUGCCUUCCUCAUUCAUAGUCACUGGUGAGGCAUGAGGCGCUCAGGUGAGGUGAUUCGACCAUUCCCCCUAUUCAUUUUGUUGCCAAUUCCAUUGAAUCCUUGGGGCUGCUCAUUGUUGUUUCGAUCUAUUUGAUUUUUUGUUAAUUUGUCUUUGGCAUUUGAUGGGUUACUCACUGCCCCCAAAAUAAUUUUGCAAAUCUGGAAUUCAUAGAAAUAUUUUGAAUAUGAUUUUUGUUAAUUUGUCUUUGGCAUUUGAUAGGUUACUCAUUGCCCCCAAAAUAAUUUGCAAAUUUGGAAUUCAUAGAAAUAUUUUGAAUAUGAUUUUUGUUAAUUUGUCUCUGGCAUUUGAUCACUUACUCACUGCCCCCCAAAAUAAUUUGCAUUUUCGAAUCCAUACAAAUAGUUUAAUUCUAAUAUGUUAUUUUGUCCUUUGUUUCAUUUUUUUUAUCUUUUCUAGGUUUUUUCUAUUCGUUGAUUUAUUAUCUGUUGGUUACAAAUUUCAGGUGACGAAGUCACUUGUUUCACUCGAAUAUAGUCAACAAAAAAAAUCAAGUGAAACAAAGGAGAAAUUCACCUGAGUGUUAGAAUCACUCAAAUCACUCAAGUUAGUUAUAUUACGAAUCGAAAAAAAAAUUGAACUAAGAAGAGUUGGAGGUGCACCUAAGAUUCACCCAUUUGCAGCCCUAGGUUUGUGCCAAAGACGUUCCCCAGUGUUCCCUCUGUAUCAGUAGCUAGCGAUUCUGUAUGUGCAUCAACCUCCCGCCCAGUUCAGAAUCGAAUGUGAGCGUGGCAGAACAGGUUUUCUAGGACAGGAACUUUGUGUUCCCUGAGCUGGUUUCUAGCAACUUUAAGACGUGAAUAACCAUGACAAGGGAUGUCUCCUACACGCUACUUAUAUAGAUGUGCUUGCAGUAAAACGGCCCUUAGAAUGCAGCAAUUGUAAUGCUAA